This 88-nucleotide transfer RNA is filed under the name Syntrophaceae bacterium. RNAcentral's name for it is "tRNA-Leu". It matches the Rfam family "tRNA". Rfam says of the family: Transfer RNA (tRNA) molecules are approximately 80 nucleotides in length. Their secondary structure includes four short double-helical elements and three loops (D, anti-codon, and T loops). The record is from RNAcentral. Lineage: Bacteria; Pseudomonadati; Thermodesulfobacteriota; Syntrophia; Syntrophales; Syntrophaceae.
GCCUGGGUGGCGGAACUGGUAGACGCAAGGGACUUAAAAUCCCUCGUAGUUUUACUACGUGAGGGUUCGAUUCCCUCCCUAGGCACCA